AUUUAAAUAACUUAAAUUUAAAGUCUAAUAUUGAAAAUAUUAAUAUGAUUUUUUAAUCUUUAAAUA
RNAcentral lists this transfer RNA (66 nucleotides) under Eumacrocentrus sp. QL-2013. Its description in RNAcentral is "tRNA-Phe". Lineage: Eukaryota; Metazoa; Arthropoda; Insecta; Hymenoptera; Braconidae. The record is from RNAcentral.